UUUCUUGUCUCCUUUCACUAUGUGUUUUCAAAUAACCUGUCUUCAUGCUUACUAAUUCUUCUGCUUGAUUACUUCUGGUAUCAGGAGACUCUGACGCGUUCUUUAGUAUGUCAAAAUUUGCAUUUUUCACUGCCAGAAUUUCUGCUUGAUUCUUUUAAAUUAUUUUUAUCUCUUUGUUAAAUUUAUCUGAUAGAAUUCUCAAUUCCUUCUCUGGGUUAUCUUGAAUUUCAUUGUGUUUCCUCAAAUCAGUUAUUUUGUAUUAUCUCUGUGAAAGAUCACAUAUCUCUGUUUCUCCAGCAUUGGUCAUUAGUGCCUUAUUUAGUUCAUUUGGAUGGUGUUGAUGCUUGUGGAUAUUCACUGGUCUCUGGGUGUUGAUGAGUUAUGUAUUUAUUGUAGUCUUUGCAGUCUGGGUUUGUUUGUACCCGUUCUUCUUGGAAAGGCUUUCUAGGUAUUCAAAAAGACUUGGGUGUUGUGAUCUAAGUUGUAUCUGCAUUAGAGGGCACCCCAAGCCCAGUUAUGCUAUGGUUCUUGCAGACUCAUAAAGGUAUUAUUUUGGUGGUCUUAGAUAAGAUCCUGAAGAAUUCUCUGGAUUACCAUGUAGAUACUCUUGUUCCUUCCCCUUACUUUAUCCCAAACAGAGUCUCUCUAUCUGUGCUGAACCUCCUGGGGCUGGGGAUGAGAUGAUACAAGCACUCCUGUGGCCACCACCACUGAGUCUGUGGGUUAUACCUAAAGCCAGCACAGCCCUAGGUGUAAUCUAAGGCUUGUUGUAGUCACUACUUGGCUAUUGCCUAUGUUUGCUCAAGGCAUUAGGACUCUACAAUCAUGCAGAUGGUGAAGCCAGCCAGAUGUGUAUCCUUCCCUUCAGGGUGGCAAAUCCCCCGAGGCCCUAGGCAGGUCCAGAGAUGCUGUCCAGGAACCAGGGACUGCAGUUAAAAAUGAAAAGUCUACCUGUGUUCUACUGCAGCUGAGCUGGCCCUCAAACCAUGAGACACAGUCCUUUCCACUUUUCCCUCCCAUUUCCACAGGCAGAGGACCCUCACCUCACGGCCACCACCACCAUGUGCACACAAAAGAUACUGCCAGACUACCACCGAUGGGUCUCAUUCAGCUUGUGGUGAAUGCUGCCUGGCCUGGGAGUCACUCUUCAGGGCAGUGGGCUCCCCUAUGGCCCAGGAAAGGUCCAGAAAUUUUGUCCAAGAGCCAAGUCCUGGAAUUGGGGAUCCCAAGAGCCUGCUCAGUACUCUUUUCCACUGUGGCCGAGCUAGUACCUAACAUGCAAGACAAAGUCCCCAUUACUUUUCCUUCCGCUUUCCUCAAGCAGAAGGAGUCUCUUACUGUAACCACUCUGGCUGAGAAUAUGGCGAGUAUCACCUAAAGCCAACAUGUCUCAGAGUCUCACCAAAGCCCCAUGACGUAAUAUUUGGGUAUCACUGCUGGUUAUUCAGGGCCCAAGGGCUUUUUAGUCAGCAAGUGAUGGAUUGUGCCAGGACUGGGUCCUUCCCUUCAAGGCAAUGGGUUCUCGUAUGUCGCAGGGUGUGUCUAGAAAUGUAGGCCAGGAGCUAGGUGUUGGAAUAGGGGCCUCCUGACUCUGAGUGGUGCUCUAUUCUACUGUGGCUGAGCUGGUAUCCAAGAUGCAAGACAAAAGUCCUCUUUACUCCUGCCUCUCCUCUCCUCAAGCAGAAGAAAGGUGUCUCUUUUGGAGCCACUAGCUGUGCUACCUGGGGUUGGGGAGAGGUAGCAUAAGCACUCUUUUAGCUGCUCUGUUGGUAUCUCAGUAGUUGCACUCCCCUGACAACUGCUGGCUCCAAACACAGCCUAGCACUAAGACUUGCCUUGGAGUUGCAGUCCUUGUGGCCUAUGCUGUCUUUCAAGUUUACUUACGGUUUCAGAGCACUUCAGCCCAUGGUGGGAAGGCUUGCUGGAACUCCGCGGUGAUGGAUGAUUCCCUUCUGGCUAGGGAUGGUCUAAAUGCUGCCUCCGUGGGCAGGCAUCAGCUGAGUUCAGCCAAUUCCCACUGUGACAGAACAGCUCUGAGUUUAAUACAAAGUCUCACAGUUGUGCUCUCCCUCUCCCAAGCACACAGAUUCUCUCUCUUUGCCACGCAGGUGGUUCAGGGGUAUAGGAGAAGGGUGGCAUUGGAAAUUCAAGACUAUCUUUCAUCCUUCUUCAGUGCCUCUUUCAGUGAUACGAAGUUAAAACUAGGUAUUAUGAGUGCUCACUUGAUUUUUAGUUCUUAUGAAGGUGCUUUUUUUGUGUGUAGAUAGUUAUUACAUUUGGUGUUCCUGUGAUGAGAGGAUGAUCAGUGGAGCCUUCUAUUCUGCCAUCUUGCUCUGCCCUCCUACCAAAUUUUUGAAUUAAGAUUUUAUAGAACAGCAGAACUGCUGUCAAUGAUAUAGAGUAAGGGAUUUAUUACAGGGAUUAGAACUUAGGCAACAGGUGAUGGAUCAUCAUUCAGGCUAUUGCUUUUGUAUCUAGUAUUGGGCAUGUUUUUCUUACAGCCAUGAUGGAGACAGAAAUGGAAACAGAAAAGGUCUCUUUAAGCCUAAGUUUGGAACUUCAGCACACCUUCAUUUUGGGCCUAUAUUUUGCCUAAAGUCAUAUCCACAAGCUGAAGGUCAAGAAGAUAGACCAGAAUCAUGUGGUCAAUUCCUCCUCAGCAAGCUGACUCUAAAACACAACUUAGCAAGGAUGGACUGAAGUUGGUGUUGUCUGUAAAAAUGGAAUUAAUGAUUCUCUGGUGGCCUUGCUUCUGCAAUGGGAAGAGUAAGGGUUUGGAAAACAGAUGAUCUGAGGUGAAAGACCCUUUUCCACCCACUGCUAAUGAUGUCACCUUCAGAAGGUCUCUACAGCUCUUUGGGUCUCAUGCAGCUCAUCAGAAAGAGACAGUAUUGAAGGGCCCAUCUAUUACUACAGGACUAGGGAACAUGGCUUUCCAAAGUCACAUAGUUAGAAAAAGAACGUGAGUGUUUUGACUUCUAGUCCAGUUUGUUUUCAUCAUAUUGUGCUGCUUCUCAGAUAGAACCCACUGUGACCAGUGAGGGGUCUUUAGAGAAAUGUGUUCCCAACACUAAUCUGGUAACUACUAUAGUAAAAAUAGCUAAUGUUUACUGAGCA
Molecule: non-coding RNA, 3117 nt
Organism: Macaca mulatta (Rhesus monkey)
Lineage: Eukaryota; Metazoa; Chordata; Mammalia; Primates; Cercopithecidae
Source: RefSeq, a predicted model, not a curated record